AUGGAUGUUUGUAAAUUAUUUGUUUCCACUCUUGUACAAAAAAGGGCAGGGUCUGAUAUGCAUAUGCCAUCCCUUCACGUUGAGAACGAUUCUGAGGCACCACCGGCGCCGGAGGACUACAUCGAUGCUGGCUCUGUUGGAAGUUUCGCAAGGUUCAUAAACCACAGCUGCAACCGUAACCUCUUCGCCCAGUGUGUCCUAACAAAUCACCACGACGUCAAGCUACAAAAGGUAGCACCUGACAUCAACAGCUAUGACAUCAGGAACUCCCUCGCAGUUGUCGAAUACCUCGCUGAAAUUUAUAGCUUCUACAGACGAACCAAGGUAAUUAUCUGCUUGGAACCCCGUGGAAGUUAUUUACAGAGUUCUGACCUUGUAUGGCAAUAA
Molecule: ribosomal RNA, 387 nt
Filed under: Triticum aestivum (bread wheat)
Lineage: Eukaryota; Viridiplantae; Streptophyta; Magnoliopsida; Poales; Poaceae
Description: partial small subunit ribosomal RNA
Source: RNAcentral